This 253-nucleotide ribosomal RNA is filed under the name uncultured bacterium. RNAcentral describes it as "partial 16S ribosomal RNA". It matches the Rfam family "Bacterial small subunit ribosomal RNA", at positions 524 to 776 of the family's 1533-position model. The record is from RNAcentral.
GACGUAGGGCGCGAGCGUUGUCCGGAUUUAUUGGGCGUAAAGAGCUCGUAGGCGGCUCAUUGCGUCAACCGUGAAAACCAGCAGCUCAACUGUUGGCUUGCGGUUGAUACGGGUGGGCUGGAGUUCGGUAGGGGAGACUGGAAUUCCUGGUGUAGCGGUGAAAUGCGCAGAUAUCAGGAGGAACACCGGUGGCGAAGGCGGGUCUCUGGGCCGAUACUGACGCUGAGGCGCGAAAGCUAGGGGAGCAAACGGG